AUGCAGAUAGUUCAGUUGGUUAGAGCACAGCACUGAUAGUGCCAAGGUUGCAGGGUUGAUCCCUGUAGGGGACAGCUGCAUA
Molecule: non-coding RNA, 82 nt
Organism: Podarcis lilfordi (Lilford's wall lizard)
Lineage: Eukaryota; Metazoa; Chordata; Lepidosauria; Squamata; Lacertidae
Source: the annotation of a GenBank genome assembly